CCUACGUGGGGCAGCAGUGAGGAAUAUUGGUCAAUGGGCGCGAGCCUGAACCAGCCAAGUAGCGUGAAGGAUGACUGCCCUACGGGUUGUAAACUUCUUUUAUAAAGGAAUAAAGUGAGGCACGUGUGCCUUUUUGUAUGUACUUUAUGAAUAAGGAUCGGCUAACUCCGUGCCAGCAGCCGCGGUAAUACGGAGGAUCCGAGCGUUAUCCGGAUUUAUUGGGUUUAAAGGGAGCGUAGAUGGGUUGUUAAGUCAGUUGUGAAAGUUUGCGGCUCAACCGUAAAAUUGCAAUUGAUACUGGCAGUCUUGAGUACAGUUGAGGUAGGCGGAAUUCGUGGUGUAGCGGUGAAAUGCUUAGAUAUCACGAAGAACUCCGAUUGCGAAGGCAGCUUACUAAACUGCCACUGACAUUGAUGCUCGAAAGUGUGGGUAUCAAACAGGAUUAGAUUCCCUAGUAGUC
This 460-nucleotide ribosomal RNA is filed under the name uncultured bacterium. Its description in RNAcentral is "partial 16S ribosomal RNA". It matches the Rfam family "Bacterial small subunit ribosomal RNA", at positions 338 to 795 of the family's 1533-position model. The record is from RNAcentral.